Molecule: ribosomal RNA, 206 nt
Filed under: uncultured fungus
Lineage: Eukaryota; Fungi
Description: partial 28S ribosomal RNA
Rfam family: Eukaryotic large subunit ribosomal RNA
Source: RNAcentral
UUGCCUUAGUAACGGCGAGUGAAGCGGCAAAAGCUCAGAUUUGAAAUCUGACGUCAUUUUGGCGUUCGAGUUGUAAUCUGUAGAGAAGUAUUCGGGUGUAGAUUUGGCUUAAGUUCCUUGGAACAGGACGUCACAGAGGGUGAGAACCCCGUUUCGGCCUUUGUCUUAUACUCAUGUGAAUCUUCUUCAACGAGUCGAGUUGUUUG